UACUAAAAUGCAACUUGUCAAAUAUAGUUCUAUAGUUGUAUUUAAAGAAAAACACUUGUUUGGCAAUAUGGAAAACACUUGUACCAACUUGCAGUAUCCUUAAGUGUUCUUAGUUAUUUCAGAAAUGGUUUCACUAUCAAAAAUGCUCAUUUUAUUUCUGUCUUGGUUCACCUCAUCUGAAUCCUAUACAUUCUGAUAUGAUUCAAUACAUGUAUAUAUCAACCAAACAGCUUUUGGUAGUAUUUUGUGACUUCAACCCAGUCAUUUGGUUAACUUAGUCACUCAGAAGAAUUUUGCAUUUGUCCCCAGAUUUGGCAAAAACAAAAUUAAUGUGAUUUAAAUAAUCACAUCUUUCAAAACAAUAUUGAAUCAAAAUUCA
This 379-nucleotide long non-coding RNA is filed under the name Mytilus galloprovincialis (Mediterranean mussel). Lineage: Eukaryota; Metazoa; Mollusca; Bivalvia; Mytilida; Mytilidae. The record is from RNAcentral.